RNAcentral lists this ribosomal RNA (710 nucleotides) under Escherichia coli. RNAcentral's name for it is "bacterial LSU rRNA". It matches the Rfam family "Bacterial large subunit ribosomal RNA", at positions 2238 to 2925 of the family's 2925-position model. The record is from RNAcentral. Lineage: Bacteria; Pseudomonadati; Pseudomonadota; Gammaproteobacteria; Enterobacterales; Enterobacteriaceae.
AUCCGGGUUGCGGACAGUGUCUGGUGGGUAGUUUGACUGGGGCGGUCUCCUCCUAAAGAGUAACGGAGGAGCACGAAGGUUGGCUAAUCCUGGUCGGACAUCAGGAGGUUAGUGCAAUGGCAUAAGCCAGCUUGACUGCGAGCGUGACGGCGCGAGCAGGUGCGAAAGCAGGUCAUAGUGAUCCGGUGGUUCUGAAUGGAAGGGCCAUCGCUCAACGGAUAAAAGGUACUCCGGGGAUAACAGGCUGAUACCGCCCAAGAGUUCAUAUCGACGGCGGUGUUUGGCACCUCGAUGUCGGCUCAUCACAUCCUGGGGCUGAAGUAGGUCCCAAGGGUAUGGCUGUUCGCCAUUUAAAGUGGUACGCGAGCUGGGUUUAGAACGUCGUGAGACAGUUCGGUCCCUAUCUGCCGUGGGCGCUGGAGAACUGAGGGGGGCUGCUCCUAGUACGAGAGGACCGGAGUGGACGCAUCACUGGUGUUCGGGUUGUCAUGCCAAUGGCACUGCCCGGUAGCUAAAUGCGGAAGAGAUAAGUGCUGAAAGCAUCUAAGCACGAAACUUGCCCCGAGAUGAGUUCUCCCUGACUCCUUGAGAGUCCUGAAGGAACGUUGAAGACGACGACGUUGAUAGGCCGGGUGUGUAAGCGCAGCGAUGCGUUGAGCUAACCGGUACUAAUGAACCGUGAGGCUUAACCUUACAACGCCGAAGCUGUU